This 253-nucleotide ribosomal RNA is filed under the name uncultured bacterium. RNAcentral's name for it is "partial 16S ribosomal RNA". It matches the Rfam family "Bacterial small subunit ribosomal RNA", at positions 524 to 776 of the family's 1533-position model. The record is from RNAcentral.
UACGGAGGGUGCAAGCGUUAAUCGGAUUUAUUGGGCGUAAAGGGCGCGUAGGCUGGCGAAUAAGUCAGAUGUGAAAUCCUGAGGCUUAACCUCAGACCUGCAUUUGAAACUAUUUGUCUAGAGGGUAGGCGGAGAAAACGGAAUUCCACAAGUAGCGGUGAAAUGCGUAGAUAUGUGGAAGAACACCGGUGGCGAAGGCGGUUUUCUAGCUUACUCCUGACGCUGAGGCGCGAAAGUUAGGGGAUCAAACAGG